AACAAAUCCUUCGCAAGCUGAAAACAUGGACAGCCUAGAGCGCAGCCUUGGUUCAGCUUCUGACAUUCAGGUUGGCAGAGGGCCUGGCUCCAGCUGUCCCUGUGCCCUGUUUGCAAGGAUGUAUAGAAGGUCACUCACAGCCAGCCCCUUUCCCUGUUCUGAUAACAUCGGAGGGAGCUCCCCAGCUGAAAGGCAAUCUCCAGCAAAUCUCAGGCUGGCCAUCAGGCAAGAUCGGAGGACAAAGAGCGAUUGUUGAUGGAGUGCUCCGAUCCUGCAGAAAGGUCAAUCCCAAGCCUUCCUUUCUCCUCUCACCCUCCUGUACCUGAUGCCUCACAAAGGUCAACUCCAAUUUUUCCCAGACACUAAAGA
This is a long non-coding RNA of Heterocephalus glaber (naked mole-rat), 369 nucleotides long. Lineage: Eukaryota; Metazoa; Chordata; Mammalia; Rodentia; Bathyergidae. The record is from Ensembl.